RNAcentral lists this ribosomal RNA (154 nucleotides) under Rhodosporidiobolus poonsookiae. RNAcentral describes it as "5.8S ribosomal RNA". It matches the Rfam family "5.8S ribosomal RNA". From Rfam's summary of the family: 5.8S ribosomal RNA (5.8S rRNA) is a component of the large subunit of the eukaryotic ribosome. It is transcribed by RNA polymerase I as part of the 45S precursor that also contains 18S and 28S rRNA. Lineage: Eukaryota; Fungi; Basidiomycota; Microbotryomycetes; Sporidiobolales; Sporidiobolaceae. The record is from RNAcentral.
AACUUUCAACAACGGAUCUCUUGGCUCUCGCAUCGAUGAAGAACGCAGCGAAAUGUGAUAAGUAAUGUGAAUUGCAGAAUUCAGUGAAUCAUCGAAUCUUUGAACGCAUCUUGCACUCUUUGGUAUUCCGAAGAGUAUGUCUGUUUGAGUGUCA